UACCCGCAGCACAAGUGGUGGUCAUUAUUACUGGGCCUAAAGCGUCCGUAGCUGGCUUGUUAGAUGCCUGGGUAAAUCGAUGCGCUCAACGUAUCGAAUUCCGGGUGGACCGGCAAGCUCGAGACCGGGAGAGGUGUAGGCUACUCGAGGGGUAGGGGUAAAAUCCUGUAAUCCUUCGGGGAGGACCAGUGGCGAAGGCGUCACAUUAGAACGGCUCCGACAGUGAGGGACGAAGCCCUGGGGCGCAAACCGG
RNAcentral lists this ribosomal RNA (253 nucleotides) under uncultured bacterium. RNAcentral's name for it is "partial 16S ribosomal RNA". It matches the Rfam family "Archaeal small subunit ribosomal RNA", at positions 474 to 727 of the family's 1478-position model. The record is from RNAcentral.